UACGUAGGGUGCGAGCGUUAAUCGGAAUUACUGGGCAUAAAGCGUGCGCAGGCGGCGCGUUAAGACAGGUGUGAAAGCCCCGAGCUUAACUUGGGAAUUGCGCUUGUGACUGGCGUGCUGGAGUGUGGCAGAGGGAGGUGGAAUUCCACGUGUAGCAGUGAAAUGCGUAGAGAUGUGGAGGAACACCGAUGGCGAAGGCAGCCUCCUGGGCCAGCACUGACGCUCAUGCACGAAAGCGUGGGGAGCAAACAGG
This 253-nucleotide ribosomal RNA is filed under the name uncultured bacterium. Its description in RNAcentral is "partial 16S ribosomal RNA". It matches the Rfam family "Bacterial small subunit ribosomal RNA", at positions 524 to 776 of the family's 1533-position model. The record is from RNAcentral.